UAGGAUAGGUGGGAGGCUUUGAAGUGUGGACGCCAGUCUGCAUGGAGCCGGCCUUGAAAUACCACCCUUUAAUGUUUGAUGUUCUAACGUUGGCCCCUGAUCGGGGUUGCGGACAGUGUCUGGUGGGUAGUUUGACUGGGGCGGUCUCCUCCUAAAGAGUAACGGAGGAGCACGAAGGUUGGCUAAUCCUGGUCGGACAUCAGGAGGUUAGUGCAAUGGCAUAAGCCAGCUUGACUGCGAGCGUGACGGCGCGAGCAGGUGCGAAAGCAGGUCAUAGUGAUCCGGUGGUUCUGAAUGGAAGGGCCAUCGCUCAACGGAUAAAAGGUACUCCGGGGAUAACAGGCUGAUACCGCCCAAGAGUUCAUAUCGACGGCGGUGUUUGGCACCUCGAUGUCGGCUCAUCACAUCCUGGGGCUGAAGUAGGUCCCAAGGGUAUGGCUGUUCGCCAUUUAAAGUGGUACGCGAGCUGGGUUUAGAACGUCGUGAGACAGUUCGGUCCCUAUCUGCCGUGGGCGCUGGAGAACUGAGGGGGGCUGCUCCUAGUACGAGAGGACCGGAGUGGACGCAUCACUGGUGUUCGGGUUGUCAUGCCAAUGGCACUGCCCGGUAGCUAAAUGCGGAAGAGAUAAGUGCUGAAAGCAUCUAAGCACGAAACUUGCCCCGAGAUGAGUUCUCCCUGAGACUUAGAGUCUCCUGAAGGAACGUUGAAGACGACGACGUUGAUAGGCCGGGUGUGUAAGCGCAGCGAUGCGUUGAGCUAACCGGUACUAAUGAACCGUGAGGCUUAACCUUACAACGCCGAAG
RNAcentral lists this ribosomal RNA (804 nucleotides) under Phocaeicola vulgatus. RNAcentral describes it as "Bacteroides vulgatus partial 23S ribosomal RNA". It matches the Rfam family "Bacterial large subunit ribosomal RNA", at positions 2139 to 2925 of the family's 2925-position model. Lineage: Bacteria; Pseudomonadati; Bacteroidota; Bacteroidia; Bacteroidales; Bacteroidaceae. The record is from RNAcentral.